UACGAAGGGGGCUAGCGUUGUUCGGAUUUACUGGGCGUAAGCGCACGUAGGCGGAUAUUUAAGUCAGAGGUGAAAUCCCAGGGCUCAACCCUGGAACUGCCUUUGAUACUGGAUGUCUUGAGUAUGGAAGAGGUGAGUGGAAUACCGGGUGUAGAGGUAAAAUUCGUAGAUAUUCGGAGGAACACCAGUGGCGAGGGCGGCUCACUGGUCCAUUACUGACGCUGAGGUGCGAAAGCGUGGGGAGCAAACA
Molecule: ribosomal RNA, 250 nt
Filed under: uncultured Bartonella sp.
Lineage: Bacteria; Pseudomonadati; Pseudomonadota; Alphaproteobacteria; Hyphomicrobiales; Bartonellaceae
Description: partial 16S ribosomal RNA
Rfam family: Bacterial small subunit ribosomal RNA
Source: RNAcentral